RNAcentral lists this ribosomal RNA (879 nucleotides) under uncultured bacterium. Its description in RNAcentral is "bacterial SSU rRNA". It matches the Rfam family "Bacterial small subunit ribosomal RNA", at positions 26 to 898 of the family's 1533-position model. The record is from RNAcentral.
AGGACGAACGCUGGCGGCGUGCCUAACACAUGCAAGUCGAGCGAGAAAUCCUUCGGGAUGGAUUAGCGGCGGACGGGUGAGUAACACGUGGGUAACCUGCCUCAAAGAGGGGGAUAGCCUCCCGAAAGGGAGAUUAAUACCGCAUAACAUUAGUUUUUCGCAUGAAGAAUUGAUUAAAGGAGUAAUCCGCUUUGGGAUGGGCCCGCGGACCAUUAGCUAGUUGGUGAGGUAACGGCUCACCAAGGCCGAGAUGGUUAGCUGGUCUGAGAGGAUGAUCAGCCACACUGGAACUGAGAUACGGUCCAGACUCCUACGGGAGGCAGCAGUGAGGAAUAUUGCGCAGUGGAGGCAACUCUGACGCAGCAACGCCGCGUGGGUGAAGAAGGCUUUCGGGUUGUAAAGCCCUGUCAGGUGGGAAGAAACCUCUUCUAGUGAAUAGCUAGAGGAACUGACGGUACCACCAAAGGAAGCACCGGCUAACUCCGUGCCAGCAGCCGCGGUAAGACGGAGGGUGCAAGCGUUGUUCGGAAUCACUGGGCGUAAAGCGCGUGUAGGCGGUUCGAUAAGUCGAGUGUGAAAGCCCGAGGCUCAACUUCGGAAGUGCAUUCGGAACUGUCGAGCUUGAGUACGGGAGAGGGAAGUGGAAUUCCUGGUGUAGAGGUGAAAUUCGUAGAUAUCAGGAGGAACACCGGUGGCGAAGGCGGCUUCCUGGACCGAUACUGACGCUGAGACGCGAAAGCGUGGGGAGCAAACAGGAUUAGAUACCCUGGUAGUUCACGCCGUAAACUGUGAGCGCUAGGUGUAGCGGGUAUUGACCCCUGCUGUGCCGCAGCUAACGCAUUAAGCGCUCCGCCUGGGGAGUACGGCCGCAAGGUUAAA